Molecule: ribosomal RNA, 424 nt
Filed under: uncultured prokaryote
Description: bacterial SSU rRNA
Rfam family: Bacterial small subunit ribosomal RNA
Source: RNAcentral
UGGGGAAUAUUGGACAAUGGGCGCAAGCCUGAUCCAGCAAUGCCGCGUGAGUGAUGAAGGCCCUAGGGUUGUAAAGCUCUUUUACCCGGGAUGAUAAUGACAGUACCGGGAGAAUAAGCUCCGGCUAACUCCGUGCCAGCAGCCGCGGUAAUACGGAGGGAGCUAGCGUUGUUCGGAAUUACUGGGCGUAAAGCGCGCGUAGGCGGUCCAUCAAGUCAGAGGUGAAAGCCCGGGGCUCAACCCCGGAACUGCCUUUGAAACUGGCGGACUGGAAUCUUGGAGAGGCGAGUGGAAUUCCGAGUGUAGAGGUGAAAUUCGUAGAUAUUCGGAAGAACACCAGUGGCGAAGGCGACUCGCUGGACAAGUAUUGACGCUGAGGUGCGAAAGCGUGGGGAGCAAACAGGAUUAGAUACCCCGGUAGUCC